CCCUUAGAUGUCCUGGGCCGCACGCGCGCUACAAUGACUCACUCAGAAAGUUUUUCCUGAUCCGGAAGGAUUCGGGUAAUCUUCAUAGCAUGAGUCGUGUUAGGGAUCGAUCUUUGCAAUUAUAGAUCUUGAACGAGGAAUGCCUAGUAAGUGCAGCUCAUCAGGCUGUACUGAUUACGUCCCCGCCCUUUGUACACACCGCCCGUCGCUCCUACCGAUUGAGUGGUCCGGUGAACCUUCUGGAUUAAGCAGCAAUGCUUGAGAAGUUAGGUAAACCUUAUCACUUAGAGGAAGGAGAAGUCGUAACA
RNAcentral lists this ribosomal RNA (308 nucleotides) under uncultured eukaryote. RNAcentral describes it as "partial 18S ribosomal RNA". It matches the Rfam family "Eukaryotic small subunit ribosomal RNA", at positions 1470 to 1796 of the family's 1831-position model. The record is from RNAcentral.